GGCAGCGAAGCCGAACCGAGGGUGGGAAGACCCUCCUGAGGAGAGCGGGCGGGCGUGAACGCGGGCUCAGUCACCCGAGCCGCUCCGUUACCGCAGCGGCGACGACGAUCAGGGCCGUGUUGUUGCUGCCAACUUGUCGAGAAGACACUGAGCAUGCGCGCGCGGAGACCACAUCCGGCUCCAAAUCACGAAUUCCAACGGUAUAUAAAAUCGACAGGUGCCCAGGACAGUGUCAAGGAAUUACACGUUCAGAAACCUUGCCAGGUGUCACGAAAUUUAAAUGGUUGUUGGGAGCGACCAGGGAGACCUCUACACUUCCUAUUAAUCAGGAUUGGGGGUGUCGCUCAGUGGUAGAGCGCUUGCCUAGCAUGCUCAAGGGCCUGAGAUCAUCCUAAGCAACGCAAAAAAAAAUAGUAAUAAUAAAUGUUUUAAAAGUUCCAGAAAACACGAAUUAUAUGGGGGUGGGGGGGUAUUUGUUUCUUUUGUUUUCACCUGGCAAUAAAUAAUUCUGUCGGGGUCCCUCCAAGAUUAA
Molecule: long non-coding RNA, 532 nt
Organism: Marmota flaviventris (yellow-bellied marmot)
Lineage: Eukaryota; Metazoa; Chordata; Mammalia; Rodentia; Sciuridae
Source: RefSeq, a predicted model, not a curated record